GAUGAAGAACGUAGCGAAAUGCGAUACUUGGUGUGAAUUGCAGAAUCCCGUGAACCAUCGAGUCUUUGAACGCAAGUUGCGCCCGAAGCCAUCAGGUUGAGGGCACGUCUGCCUGGGCGUCACAUAUCGUUGCCCAAUGCCUAUUGCAGUGCAAUAGGAAUUUCUAGGGCGAAUGAUGGCUUCCCGUGAGCGUUGUUGCCUCGCGGUUGGUUGAAAAUCGAGUCCUUGGUAGGGUGUGCCAUGGUAGAUGGUGGUCGAGUUAGAACGAUACCGAUCAUGUGCAUGCUCCCCAAAAUAUGGCCUCUAUGACCCACACGCGUCUUUUGACGCUCAUGACGAGACCUCAGGUCAGGCGGGGCUACCCGCUGAAUUUAAGCAUAUCAAUAGGCGGGGA
RNAcentral lists this unclassified non-coding RNA (394 nucleotides) under soil metagenome. Its description in RNAcentral is "partial contains 5.8S ribosomal RNA, internal transcribed spacer 2, and large subunit ribosomal RNA". The stretch from base 1 to 122 matches the Rfam family "5.8S ribosomal RNA", at positions 35 to 154 of the family's 154-position model. The record is from RNAcentral.